This 486-nucleotide ribosomal RNA is filed under the name uncultured bacterium. Its description in RNAcentral is "partial 16S ribosomal RNA". It matches the Rfam family "Bacterial small subunit ribosomal RNA", at positions 29 to 523 of the family's 1533-position model. The record is from RNAcentral.
AUUGAACGCUGGCGGCGUGCUUAACACAUGCAAGUCGAACGGUGAACGAGGGAGCUUGCUCCCUCCGGAUCAGUGGCGAACGGGUGAGUAACACGUGAGCAAUCUGCCCUGGACUCUGGGAUAAGCGUUGGAAACGACGUCUAAUACCGGAUACGAGGCGUGGGGGCAUCCCCAACGCCUGGAAAGAACUUCGGUCCAGGAUGAGCUCGCGGCCUAUCAGCUAGUUGGUGAGGUAACGGCUCACCAAGGCGACGACGGGUAGCCGGCCUGGGAGGGUGACCGGCCACACUGGGACUGAGACACGGCCCAGACUCCUACGGGAGGCAGCAGUGGGGAAUAUUGCACAAUGGGCGCAAGCCUGAUGCAGCAACGCCGCGUGAGGGACGACGGCCUUCGGGUUGUAAACCUCUUUUAGCAGGGAAGAAGCGAAAGUGACGGUACCUGCAGAAAAAGCACCGGCUAACUACGUGCCAGCCGCCGCCGUAA